This 335-nucleotide unclassified non-coding RNA is filed under the name soil metagenome. RNAcentral's name for it is "partial contains 5.8S ribosomal RNA, internal transcribed spacer 2, and large subunit ribosomal RNA". The stretch from base 1 to 120 matches the Rfam family "5.8S ribosomal RNA", at positions 35 to 154 of the family's 154-position model. The record is from RNAcentral.
GAUGAAGAACGCAGCGAAAUGCGACAAGUAAUGUGAAUUGCAGAAUUCCGUGAAUCAUCGAAUCUUUGAACGCACAUUGCGCCCCUUGGUAUUCCAUGGGGCAUGCCUGUUCGAGCGUCAUUUGUACCUUCAAGCUUUGCUUGGUGUUGGGUGUUUGUCUCGCCUUUGCGUGUAGACUCGCCUUAAAAUAAUUGGCAGCCGGCGUAUUGAUUUCGGAGCGCAGUACAUCUCGCGCUUUGCACUCAUAACGACAGCGUCCAAAAGUACAUUUUACACUCUUGACCUCGGAUCAGGUAGGGAUACCCGCUGAACUUAAGCAUAUAAUAAGCGGAGGA